This 67-nucleotide transfer RNA is filed under the name Saron marmoratus. RNAcentral describes it as "tRNA-Ser". Lineage: Eukaryota; Metazoa; Arthropoda; Malacostraca; Decapoda; Hippolytidae. The record is from RNAcentral.
AGAAAGGUAGAACGAAAAGAAGCUUCUAACUUCUAUUUCAAGCAGUUUAAUUCUGUUUAUUUCUCUA